This is a non-coding RNA of Struthio camelus australis, 131 nucleotides long. Lineage: Eukaryota; Metazoa; Chordata; Aves; Struthioniformes; Struthionidae. The record is from RefSeq and is a predicted model, not a curated record.
CUUACUCAGGACGGUCAACAUGGUCCCCGCGCCGAAUUCAGCAGUAUGGCCACCACAGUAAUACACUGCCUCGUCCUCGGCUUGCACCCCAGUGAUGGUCAAUGUGCUUGUGGAGCCAGAGGUGGAAGCGG